CGGCGGUUGGGGUGUCGGCCCGGUCCGACCUGUUCGCACUGGGACUGAUCCUGUUCGAGCUGGCGACCGGCGA
This 73-nucleotide transfer RNA is filed under the name Urbifossiella limnaea. Its description in RNAcentral is "Planctomycetes bacterium ETA_A1 tRNA-Ala". Lineage: Bacteria; Pseudomonadati; Planctomycetota; Planctomycetia; Gemmatales; Gemmataceae. The record is from RNAcentral.